RNAcentral lists this ribosomal RNA (449 nucleotides) under uncultured bacterium. Its description in RNAcentral is "partial 16S ribosomal RNA". It matches the Rfam family "Bacterial small subunit ribosomal RNA", at positions 354 to 796 of the family's 1533-position model. The record is from RNAcentral.
GUCGAGAAUCUUUCACAAUGGGGGCAACCCUGAUGGAGCGACGCCGCGUGGAGGAUAAGGUCUUCGGAUUGUAAACUCCUGUCAUGCGUGAACAAGGUUGCUUGGUUAAUACCUGGGCAAAUUGAUGGUAACGCAAGAGGAAGAGACGGCUAACUCUGUGCCAGCAGCCGCGGUAAUACAGAGGUCUCAAGCGUUGUUCGGAAUCACUGGGCGUAAAGGGUGCGUAGGUGGCGUGGUAAGUCAGAUGUGAAAGCCCGGGGCUCAACCUCGGAACUGCAUCCGGUACUGCCAUGCUAGAGUACUGGAGAGGUGACUAGAAUUCUCGGUGUAGCAGUGAAAUGCGUAGAUAUCGAGAGGAAUACCAAAGGCGUAGGCAGGUCACUGGACAGUUACUGGCACUGAGGCACGAAGGCCAGGGGAGCGAACGGGAUUAGAAACCCGUGUAGUCC